GCAUUUAUAACAAAAUAUAUAAGCUUCUGAUACACGAAAAAUGAAUGAAUAAACAAAAAAUAUUGAAAAAAUUACUACCAUUGAUUACACACACAACUAUGCUAAUAAUAAUGCAACACACUAUUAAUUUUCUAUAUACAUCAUCACCAGCAUGGUGAUACAAAUAUAGGACAUGGUAUAGCAUUCAUAAAGUAUAUGUAACUUGGUCAGACUCUAUAAUGAACUAAGCUGCAGCAGUCCCAUUUUGUGUGGAGUAACAAAAACCUAAGUUACGCUGUGGCUGUAGAGUUUUCCGAUGUGUUGGGCUUUCAUCGAAUUCUGCACGAUUCAAUGACUUCACUAACUGCUUUAUGAGUCUCUGGUGAAAUCAUGUUCAAUGACAGAUGA
RNAcentral lists this long non-coding RNA (387 nucleotides) under Arachis ipaensis. Its description in RNAcentral is "long non-coding RNA (AIPA_LNC001736)". Lineage: Eukaryota; Viridiplantae; Streptophyta; Magnoliopsida; Fabales; Fabaceae. The record is from RNAcentral.